Molecule: ribosomal RNA, 253 nt
Filed under: uncultured bacterium
Lineage: Bacteria
Description: partial 16S ribosomal RNA
Rfam family: Bacterial small subunit ribosomal RNA
Source: RNAcentral
UACGUAGGGUGCAAGCGUUAAUCGGAAUUACUGGGCGUAAAGCGUGCGCAGGCGGUUUUGUAAGUCUGACGUGAAAUCCCCGGGCUUAACCUGGGAAUUGCGUUGGAGACUGCAAGGCUAGAAUCUGGCAGAGGGGGGUAGAAUUCCACGUGUAGCAGUGAAAUGCGUAGAGAUGUGGAGGAAUACCGAUGGCGAAGGCAGCCUCCUGGGCCAACACUGACGCUCAUGCACGAAAGCGUGGGGAGCAAACAGG